GCCACCUCCCUGGGAAUGACUGAAUAUCUAUGACUGCGGAUGGUAAAGAUGAUUUGUUUUUCCUUGACUCAGGGUUUGCAAUGGUUACAAUAAUUAUGUAGGAAGUAUCCAGGCAUAAUAUCCUCCUUUUCCUUUCUAUCAGAUGCUUUUCAAGUUUUAAGAAACAAGCUCAAAUCCCUGUUCCUUUAAGGUGUUCAAUUUGUUUUGUCUCUUCUGACCUCUAGUGAUCACUCUGUUUUUUAAACUCCUACAUUUUAACACCACACCAUUUGCUCUUUAUUUAUUUUUAACUUUCA
RNAcentral lists this long non-coding RNA (296 nucleotides) under Marmota monax (woodchuck). Lineage: Eukaryota; Metazoa; Chordata; Mammalia; Rodentia; Sciuridae. The record is from RNAcentral.